GAUGACGGAUUGACGUCAAGGGUGACCAUGUCAUUUGCAUCAUAUGCAUGGAUUACAUUUAUUACUUGUGAUUGUUGCAUUUCUAUGAUUGCAUAUGAUUGGCAUGCAUACAGGAGACAUGAUGGGUUUGGUUUGACGACCUUUAUGUCAGGAUAGGAGGCCCAGGUUGAAGUCAUAAGAAGGUUCCAGUCGCUAGUCCCCACUAGGAGUCGAGAUGGUUAUCUAUUUUCGGACUUGUGUUUCCUUGUUAGUGAACUACAUUCUUGUGAUGUGUGUGUUUUGCACUCUUGGAUUUUAUAUCGUGAUUCGGGUAUGCUACCCAUGUUUUCCGUUGCGAAGGUUUUUCGUUGUAGUGGUGUAGGUUUUUAUUAAACUGCAUGAUUGUGAUUGUCAAUCGGAGGCUGUACUAUAUAAACUGCGUGGAUGUUUGUUUA
Molecule: long non-coding RNA, 434 nt
Organism: Zingiber officinale
Lineage: Eukaryota; Viridiplantae; Streptophyta; Magnoliopsida; Zingiberales; Zingiberaceae
Exons: 2
Source: RefSeq, a predicted model, not a curated record